GAUGAACGCUGGCGGCGUGCCUAAUACAUGCAAGUCGAGCGAACGGACGAGAAGCUGGCUUCUCUGAUGUUAGCGGCGGACGUGUGAGUAACAUGUGGAUAACCUACCUAUAAGACUGGGAUAACUUCGGGAAACCGGAGCUAAUACCGGAUAAUAUUUUGAACCGCAUGGUUGAAAAGUGUAUGACGGUCUUGCUGUCGCUUAUAGAUGGAUCCGCGCUGCAUUAGCGAGUUGGUAAGGUAACGGCUUACCAAGGCAACGAUGCAUAGCCGACCUGCGAGGGGGAGCGGCCACACUGGAACUGCGACACGGACCAGACUCCUACGAGAGGCAGCAGUAGGGCAUCUGGCGCCAUGGGCGAAAGCCUGACGGAGCAACGCAGCGUGAGUGAUGAAGGUCUUCGGAUCGUAAAACUCUGUUAGUAGGGAAGAACAUAUGUGUAAGUAACUGUGCACAUCUUGACGGUAGCUAAAGAGAAAGCCACGGCUAACUACGUG
RNAcentral lists this ribosomal RNA (497 nucleotides) under uncultured bacterium. RNAcentral's name for it is "partial 16S ribosomal RNA". It matches the Rfam family "Bacterial small subunit ribosomal RNA", at positions 28 to 507 of the family's 1533-position model. The record is from RNAcentral.